Molecule: ribosomal RNA, 253 nt
Filed under: uncultured bacterium
Lineage: Bacteria
Description: partial 16S ribosomal RNA
Rfam family: Bacterial small subunit ribosomal RNA
Source: RNAcentral
UACAGAGGUGGCAAGCGCUGUUCGGAAUUACUGGGCGUAAAGCGCGCGCAGGCGGCCUCGCGCGCCCGACGUGAAAGCCCCCGGCUUAACCGGGGAGGGUCGUUGGGGACGGCGGGGCUUGAGGGCGGGAGAGGUCGGUGGAAUUCCCGGUGUAGUGGUGAAAUGCGUAGAGAUCGGGAGGAACACCUGUGGCGAAGGCGGCCGACUGGGCCGACCCUGACGCUGAGGCGCGAAGGCGUGGGGAGCGAACGGG